This 109-nucleotide small nucleolar RNA is filed under the name Myotis brandtii (Brandt's bat). Its description in RNAcentral is "Small nucleolar RNA SNORA15". It matches the Rfam family "Small nucleolar RNA SNORA15", at positions 29 to 137 of the family's 137-position model. From Rfam's summary of the family: ACA15 is a member of the H/ACA class of snoRNA that guide the sites of modification of uridines to pseudouridines. Lineage: Eukaryota; Metazoa; Chordata; Mammalia; Chiroptera; Vespertilionidae. The record is from Rfam by way of RNAcentral.
GCAUGCUUACACAGCCAGACACCAUGCAAAAGUAGUCUUCCCUUUAAAAUGGCUAUGAUGGUAUGCCAAGUUUUUUCAUAGCAUAUCAUUACUAAAAGUGGAUACAAAU